Molecule: long non-coding RNA, 876 nt
Filed under: Homo sapiens (human)
Lineage: Eukaryota; Metazoa; Chordata; Mammalia; Primates; Hominidae
Description: non-protein coding lnc-DCT-19:3
Source: RNAcentral
GAAGCUUCAUGAGAUCUCUCCUGUCUGUGCACGGACGAGUGGCCGACUCUGGAGCCCAGGGUGUUGCUUCCCGGUCUGGUAGUGAAUCGUCCAUAGUCUGGUGGAAGACGGAAAGAGAAAACCAUAUGAAAAAAAGACACAAAUUUCUAAAAAAGCAUCCUGUCUUUGAAGAGUGGCAAAUACUAUUCUGUUUUUGAGUACAGAAAUAGAUCCAACUUGGAAUUAUAAAACAGAAUGGCACAAUAUAUUUAACUGACUUCCAUCUUCAAGCAAAGAGUUGUUCUCCAAAUGGCAAUUGGAAUUUGCAGCAACCUGAGUGAGGAGAGAGAUAAAUUGAAUAAUUGUUAGGCAAAAAUGAACCAGAACUUGAAGACUUGGAAAAUUACCAGCCUAUUUAUAUUGCAAAAUAAUACCAAAGAAUUUUGGGAAGAGAACAUCAAGGAUAUUGCUGGGCUACAAAGAUCUGCUAGAAAGAUUACAGAAGAAUAAUUUGCUCAUCUCUCAUUCAUACUGCUAUCCAGAUUCCUAACUGGGCUUCAUAAAAUUUACUGAUCUACAGAAAAAUUAUUCUCAGAAACUUGUGAACUUUUGUCCAAUGUAAACAGUCAUUUUCUAGGAGAGGUGCACAGCUUUUAUCAUAGUACUUUUAUUCUUUAUACUCUGAAGUAGGUAGAAUGCAUUUUGGAUGGCAUAUUUUCUUCUUGAUUGUUUCUUUUCUCUUCCAGAAUGCAUUCUCUUUUGACUUUUUCAUUAAGCAACAUUGUGAAAGAAAUAAAACUUCUGAGUCUUAGUAUAUCCGAAAAUAUUUCUUUUAUCCUCUUGGUGGACAUUUGAUGGAAUACCAAAUUUUAGAUCCAGAAUUUCUUUUGCUUACAA